This 430-nucleotide ribosomal RNA is filed under the name Chloroflexota bacterium. RNAcentral describes it as "Chloroflexi bacterium partial 16S ribosomal RNA". It matches the Rfam family "Bacterial small subunit ribosomal RNA", at positions 355 to 776 of the family's 1533-position model. The record is from RNAcentral. Lineage: Bacteria; Bacillati; Chloroflexota.
UGGGGAAUAUUGCACAAUGGGCGCAAGCCUGAUGCAGCCAUGCCGCGUGUAUGAAGAAGGCCUUCGGGUUGUAAAGUACUUUCAGCGGGGAGGAAGGGAGUAAAGUUAAUACCUUUGCUCAUUGACGUUACCCGCAGAAGAAGCACCGGCUAACUCCGUGCCAGCAGCCGCGGUAAUACGGAGGGUGCAAGCGUUAAUCGGAAUUACUGGGCGUAAAGCGCACGCAGGCGGUUUGUUAAGUCAGAUGUGAAAUCCCCGGGCUCAACCUGGGAAACUGCAGCUGAUACUGGCAAGCUUGAGUCUCGUAGAGGGGGGUAGAAUUCCAGGUGUAGCGGUGAAAUGCGUAGAGAUCUGGAGGAAUACCGGUGGCGAAGGCGGCCCCUUGGACGAAGACUGACGCUCAGGUGCGAAAGCGUGGGGAGCAAACAGG